AUGAAGGAGUAUCCCCAAGCCAGCCCUGGGGUAUGGGAUGGAGCCGAGCACAAGCGCUCCCGCUCCCGUGGAACAGGCAGCGAACUGCUGGGGCGCCCCCCCCAUCGCCCCUGGGGAAUGGGACCCAAUGGGAGCUGCCCCCGCUGCUCCCGCCCUGGAGGACCGACGGGCCGCCCCGCGCCGCCCUGGGGGUGGGACCCGGCUGCCCCCGCUGCUCCCGCGUGGAGGACCGACGGGCCGCCCCGCGCCGCCCUGGGGUGGGACCCGGCUGCCCCCGCUGCUCCCGCGGGGAGGACCGACGGUGGCCCAGAUGCUCCCGCACGGGGUGGGGGUGGGGGCGGGGGGGCCGCCGGGCCGAGCCCCCAGCUAGGGCCGCAGUCGGGCGCCCGGCGCCGCUCGCAGAGGAUGCCCGGGACCCCUCCGCCAGGCAAAGGAGUCCCCGCUCCCUCUCCCUUCUCCGCUGUACAAAGGCCCUGGCGCCGCCUCCCCAGCCGUGCUCCUUCACCUCAGAGACGUCUCCCCGCCUCCCAGACUCCGCGGCCGAGGGAAGCCGCCCACUCUCCUUUUCCACACUGUGCCAUCUUCUCCCGCAAAACGUGCGCUCGGCCCCGGCUGUGUCCCUCCGCCCCCUCCUCGCUUCUCAAGUCCCCCGGCGGCGAGUGGCCGCGCCGCGCCGCGCGCUCUCGCGAGAGUCCGCCACACGGAAGCCCCGCGCCCGCGAGGAGGCCUCCCGGGACCCCGCGGCGCGCGGUGGCGGGCGGCGCAUGCGUGGCCGCGGCUCCCAGCGCCCCCCGCGCAGCCAGCGGGCGGGGCGGAGCGGAGCGGACCGGGCUGCGCGCGCGCGGGGCCGACCGCCUUCCCCUGCGAGGCCUCGCUGGGUCCCCGUGGCCGGGCUGCCCUCGGGGGCGGUACCGCCCGGCGGCUCCCGUCGGCGUGCGGAGGUGUCCGCGGACGGACGGCCCGGACCGCCCUGGCCCCGGAAGAGCCUGGCGCCGGCCUCGGACGCCGCGGGCCCGACCGGCCACCCGCAGCGGCCUGGACGCGCCGCCGGGGCCGAGCCUCGCACCCCGCACCCCGCAGCCUGCACCCCGCACCCCGCAGCCCGCAGCCCGGGCGGGGCCUGCACGUCCGGCCCCACCCACCCGGGGCCUCGCCUCCCCGGAGCCCAGCCCCCUCCCGGCCCGGCUGUCCAGCCCCCGCCCACCGCUUCUUUUCAGUCCCCUUGAAAUCUCUCCCGGUCCCCUGGCCUCGGUCUUGCGGACGUUGCACUAA
This 1272-nucleotide long non-coding RNA is filed under the name Canis lupus familiaris (dog). Its description in RNAcentral is "lncRNA (ENSCAFG00040002331.1)". The record is from RNAcentral. Lineage: Eukaryota; Metazoa; Chordata; Mammalia; Carnivora; Canidae.